UGUUGUAAACUGCGAGGAGGACAACAUCCCAAAUUGUAAUUAGCAACAUAAAGGCGGACCAGGGAACAGUCAGGCUCCUGCAUCAGAGAAAGUGAGGCUGAGACUGGUGAAUGGGGGCAGUCGUUGCGCUGGAAGAGUGGAGAUUCACUACAAGGAAAAGUGGGGGACCGUGAAUGCUUACAGCUGGGACUUGCAGGAUGCCGCUGUCGUGUGUCGAGAGCUGGACUGCGGGCCAGCGGUCUCUGCACCGGGUUGGGCUCACUUUGGUGAAGGCACUGGUCCCGUUGUGUUCCAGGUUGCUCAGUGCAGGGGGAACGAACGCGCUCUGCGGGAGUGUGCUUCAUAUGCAUGGGGUCACCAUUCCUGGUCGCAUUCUUAUGAUGCCGGUGUCAUC
Molecule: long non-coding RNA, 394 nt
Organism: Carcharodon carcharias (great white shark)
Lineage: Eukaryota; Metazoa; Chordata; Chondrichthyes; Lamniformes; Lamnidae
Exons: 3
Source: RefSeq, a predicted model, not a curated record